CAAUGCAGCGCGCGGCUGACCCAGCUGCUCCGGCUCCUGCCCGGGGUAACCACGGCAACCGCGGGCCGCCAGGAAUGCGCGCUAAUUGAAGGCCGAGUUUCCUCCCACAGUGAUGAGCAACAAGUGAAGCAAAAAUAGGCAGUGAACGGCCGCGAACGACGUCAUUUAUGGUUCAAAAAUCUUAGGGCAAAUUUUUCAGAAAACAACUGUUACGUCAAACCCCCAUCUCUUUGCUGGGCCCCUUUGCUAGAUUCAAGUACGUAGAUGAAUGGAGAUGUAUGUGCACAUACAUAGGUCCCCAGGAACGAAAUGCCAGCUAGCAGCAGGGUUCAGCAGGUGGAGGAGGAGAUAGAAGAAAAAAUAGGAGCGUGACAGGAAAACAAAGGCAAUUCUGUGGGCUUGCAUUCGUGGGGAAGAUUCAAUCCCAAAUGAGCGCCUACUCACAAGGACCUGCUGGGACCAUACCUAUUUCUGGCCUCCUGGAUUAGCAUUGCAUUUGGACCAUAAAGAAGCACAAAUGGAUGAAUCCCCCAAAAUGUUAAUGUUUGUUAUUUGCCUGCCUGACAUUCUUUUCUUCAUUUGGAAACAAAUUGCCAGAGUUUCCUUUAAGAAGUUACUCUUUUUCCCUUUUCCCUUCAGUUCAUAGGUUCAGUUGGGGUUGGGUGGUAGACUACAGUCCUCUCACACACAGGCCACCCCCAACAACAGGACUUUUACUGAAACUAUGGGGAAAAAGGCAUUUUGUCCUCUUGAGAUGGAAGGUGCUAAAGACCAUGGAAGGGUGGAUCUGCUGGGGGCCGUCAUCUCUGCCCCAUGCAGAGAGAUCCUGCCUGAAAAUGAUGCUAACACAGUGAGUGCAGAGCCAGGAGAUGGAGAUGAGGAGACAGAGAUUCUUUAACACAUAAUCUGAAAACCAGGACUUAGCCAUGCUUGAAGCUAGAAAUACCCCCGAUUUAUCUGUUACGUAAAUCAAAUUAUCUGUUACCAGAGUUCCCCUAAGCCAGUUUGAGCCUCUAUCCCUUACAAUAAAAGAGUUCUGAAAAAUACAACA
Long non-coding RNA from Symphalangus syndactylus (siamang), 1051 nucleotides. RefSeq lists it as uncharacterized. Lineage: Eukaryota; Metazoa; Chordata; Mammalia; Primates; Hylobatidae. The record is from RefSeq and is a predicted model, not a curated record.